UGGGGAAUAUUGGACAAUGGGCGAAAGCCUGAUCCAGCCAUGCCGCGUGUGUGAAGAAGGCCUUUUGGUUGUAAAGCACUUUAAGUGGGGAGGAAAAGCUUAUGGUUAAUACCCAUAAGCCCUGACGUUACCCACAGAAUAAGCACCGGCUAACUCUGUGCCAGCAGCCGUGGUAAUACAGAGGGUGCAAGCGUUAAUCGGAAUUACUGGGCGUAAAGCGCGCGUAGGUGGUUAUUUAAGUCAGAUGUGAAAGCCCCGGGCUUAACCUGGGAACUGCAUCUGAUACUGGAUAACUAGAGUAGGUGAGAGGGGAGUAGAAUUCCAGGUGUAGCGGUGAAAUGCGUAGAGAUCUGGAGGAAUACCGAUGGCGAAGGCAGCUCCCUGGCAUCAUACUGACACUGAGGUGCGAAAGCGUGGGUAGCAAACAGGAUUAGAUACCCUGGUAGUCCACGCCGUAAACGAUGUCUACCAGUCGUUGGGUCUUUUAAAGACUUAGUGACGCAGUUAACGCAAUAAGUAGACCGCCUGGGGAGUACGGCCGCAAGGUUA
This 549-nucleotide ribosomal RNA is filed under the name uncultured bacterium. Its description in RNAcentral is "bacterial SSU rRNA". It matches the Rfam family "Bacterial small subunit ribosomal RNA", at positions 355 to 896 of the family's 1533-position model. The record is from RNAcentral.